GCUCCAGUAGCUUAAACCUUUAAAGCAUUGGUCUUGUAAACCAGAGAAUGAAGUAUAAAACCUUCCUGAAGCU
This 73-nucleotide transfer RNA is filed under the name Eupsophus emiliopugini. Its description in RNAcentral is "tRNA-Thr". It matches the Rfam family "tRNA". From Rfam's summary of the family: Transfer RNA (tRNA) molecules are approximately 80 nucleotides in length. Their secondary structure includes four short double-helical elements and three loops (D, anti-codon, and T loops). Further hydrogen bonds mediate the characteristic L-shaped molecular structure. tRNAs have two regions of fundamental functional importance: the anti-codon, which is responsible for specific mRNA codon recognition, and the 3' end, to which the tRNAs corresponding amino acid is attached (by aminoacyl-tRNA synthetases). tRNAs cope with the degeneracy of the genetic code in two manners: having more than one tRNA (with a specific anti-codon) for a particular amino acid; and 'wobble' base-pairing, i.e. permitting non-standard base-pairing at the 3rd anti-codon position. RNAcentral also lists the same sequence under 1 other name. Lineage: Eukaryota; Metazoa; Chordata; Amphibia; Anura; Alsodidae. The record is from RNAcentral.